This 447-nucleotide ribosomal RNA is filed under the name uncultured bacterium. RNAcentral describes it as "bacterial SSU rRNA". It matches the Rfam family "Bacterial small subunit ribosomal RNA", at positions 355 to 825 of the family's 1533-position model. The record is from RNAcentral.
UCGGGAAUUUUGGGCAAUGGGCGAAAGCCUGACCCAGCAACGCCGCGUGAAGGAUGAAGUAUUUCGGUAUGUAAACUUCGAAAGAAUAGGAAGAAUAAAUGACGGUACUAUUUAUAAGGUCCGGCUAACUACGUGCCAGCAGCCGCGGUAAUACGUAGGGUGCAAGCGUUAAUCGGAAUUACUGGGCGUAAAGCGUGCGCAGGCGGUUGUGUAAGUCAGAUGUGAAAUCCCCGGGCUCAACCUGGGAAUUGCAUUUGAGACUGCACGGCUAGAGUGUGUCAGAGGGGGGUAGAAUUCCACGUGUAGCAGUGAAAUGCGUAGAUAUGUGGAGGAAUACCGAUGGCGAAGGCAGCCCCCUGGGAUAACACUGACGCUCAUGCACGAAAGCGUGGGGAGCAAACAGGAUUAGAUACCCAUGUAGUCCCUGAGCGGGCUGGCAAGGCGCAU